CAGCCCCGCGGUAAUACGAAGGGUGCAAGCGUUACUCGGAAUUACUGGGCGUAAAGCGUGCGUAGGUGGUGGUUUAAGUCCGUUGUGAAAGCCCUGGGCUCAACCUGGGAAUUGCAGUGGAUACUGGGUCACUAGAGUGUGGUAGAGGAUAGUGGAAUUUCCGGUGUAGCAGUGAAAUGCGUAGAGAUCGGAAGGAACAUCUGUGGCGAAGGCGACUAUCUGGGCCAACACUGACACUGAGGCACGAAAGCGUGGGGAGCAAACAGGAUUAGAUACCCGCGUAGUCCCUGUCUCUUAUACC
RNAcentral lists this ribosomal RNA (301 nucleotides) under uncultured bacterium. RNAcentral's name for it is "partial 16S ribosomal RNA". It matches the Rfam family "Bacterial small subunit ribosomal RNA", at positions 509 to 808 of the family's 1533-position model. The record is from RNAcentral.